Molecule: ribosomal RNA, 425 nt
Filed under: uncultured bacterium
Lineage: Bacteria
Description: bacterial SSU rRNA
Rfam family: Bacterial small subunit ribosomal RNA
Source: RNAcentral
GAAUAUUGGACAAUGGGCGCAAGCCUGAUCCAGCCAUGCCGCGUGGGUGAAGAAGGCCUUCGGGUUGUAAAGCCCUUUUGUUGGGAAAGAAAAGCAGCCAGUUAAUACCUGGUUGUUCUGACGGUACCCAAAGAAUAAGCAUCGGCUAACUUCGUGCCAGCAGCCGCGGUAAUACGAAGGGUGCAAGCGUUACUCGGAAUUACUGGGCGUAAAGCGUGCGUAGGUGGUUGUUUAAGUCUGUUGUGAAAGCCCUGGGCUCAACCUGGGAAUUGCAGUGGAUACUGGACGACUAGAGUGUGGUAGAGGGUAGUGGAAUUCCUGGUGUAGCAGUGAAAUGCGUAGAGAUCAGGAGGAACAUCCAUGGCGAAGGCAGCUACCUGGACCAACACUGACACUGAGGCACGAAAGCGUGGGGAGCAAACAGG